UCUUGUAGAGAUACGAGAGUGCCUUCGGGAAUUGUGAUACAGGUGCUGCAUGGCUGUCGUCAGCUCGUGUCGUGAGAUGUUGGGUUAAGUCCCGCAACGAGCGCAACCCUUGUCCUUAGUUACCAGCACUUCGGGUGGGAACUCUAAGGAUACUGCCAGUGACAAACUGGAGGAAGGCGGGGACGACGUCAAGUCAUCAUGGCCCUUACGACCAGGGCUACACACGUGCUACAAUGGUAGGUACAGAGGGCAGCUACACAGCGAUGUGAUGCGAAUCUCAAAAAGCCUAUCGUAGUCCAGAUUGGAGUCUGCAACUCGACUCCAUGAAGUAGGAAUCGCUAGUAAUCGCGGAUCAGAAUGCCGCGGUGAAUACGUUCCCGGGCCUUGUACACACCGCCCGUCACACCAUGGGAGUUGAUUGCACUAGAAGUGGUUAGCCUAACUUAGUGAGGGCGAUCACCACGGUGUGGUUGAUGACUGGGGUGAAGUCGUAACAAGGUAGCCGUAA
This 508-nucleotide ribosomal RNA is filed under the name uncultured Psychrobacter sp. RNAcentral describes it as "bacterial SSU rRNA". It matches the Rfam family "Bacterial small subunit ribosomal RNA", at positions 996 to 1505 of the family's 1533-position model. The record is from RNAcentral. Lineage: Bacteria; Pseudomonadati; Pseudomonadota; Gammaproteobacteria; Moraxellales; Moraxellaceae.